Molecule: long non-coding RNA, 4698 nt
Organism: Amphiprion ocellaris (clown anemonefish)
Lineage: Eukaryota; Metazoa; Chordata; Actinopteri; Pomacentridae
Exons: 3
Source: RefSeq, a predicted model, not a curated record
AUUGUUUAGUUCUCUGUAAGCUACAUGUGAAGAAGUACGUCCACUGCCAUCUGCUUUGUGUUUACGCCAUCGACACCACCGUCUGCCCCCUAAUUUGUGUGUUAAACCGGUGACACUGAUGGACGCUCCAGCCCAGUAGGUGGCGGUAAUGAACCCAAAGUCUGUUUGCCAGUCAUGAAGAAGAUGCACAGGACUCACUGAGGGAUGUCAGUGCCCAAGAAAGUUUGUGUCACGCCCUCCACUUCAGCUGCCAGGUAGUGUGAAAUUCCCCUCCUCCCUCCUCUCUUCCUCUCCUAGGUGAGCGCGGCGUGUGACAUGUGGACAGGUGCUGCCAAUCAUAAUCAGAAGAGUUGGCAGGUGAGCAGGUGGGAGAGAUCACCACAUUACCUCCUUUUCCCAAAAAAGCCAGACGCUGCGACAACUCGUCGCCUGAUCGUGAACUACUCCAGUUGGAUUCCUGUUUUCUCUCCCUUUCUUACUUGGAUCUCCCUAGAUCACCACAGACUUCGGUCAGCCACCACGGCACCAGCCAAGAAGACAACCUCUGUUAGUCCUCACGCCAACCUCUGCAGCACUUGUCUGGACUCUGAUCAACGUACCAGACCACAUGCCACCUCACCCGCUCUGUCCUCCCGUCACCACUUCUCAGCCUCGGACAGUUAAGUUCCCUGCCCACUCAAUGAGCCUGUUCAAUUUUGUGUAUUCCUGUUCCUAGAGUGCCUAGUUACUUUCUGUGUUUCCAGCGUUUGUGGUACUUUUGCGUUUGUUAAUCUUGUACCCAUUGUUUAGGUCGCUUUCCUGCCUUGGAAGUACUAAGUUUGGAUCAGUUUUGCUAAUCUGUUCUUGAGGAUUGAGUCUGGUUAGAGUUAACCUCUGGUCCUUCAGGGAGCCCUGUUCUGUUCUAGCGCUCAGUAUUUUACCAUCCUGUUUUGGGGGCUUCUCGUAUGUCAUACCCUGUUGUAGUUUUUGUGUAUUCUGUAAUAAAUAAGUGUGUACUCCAAGCACCAGUCUGUGACAUCUCUGUUGCUCUGUAUCUGAGUGUCUGUCUUCAGUAUCGUAACAGUUUGGUGAACAAUGAAGGAAGACAAGGACGCACUGAGCUUGUUGGGCGGAAAGUUUUCUUUUAAAAAUCUUCCUGAUGGCACCUGGAUAAAAGUGUGGUUGUGUGCAAAUUGUGCAACAAAGAAUUUUCAUAUCACCGCAGCACUUCGCAAUAUCUACUUUAUGCAAAUGAGCUCCAGAGAGAUGCGUCGCAACACAGCUCGAAAUGUGCGGCAACGUAACCAACAUGCAACGCAGUGCAUUUCACAUAGACAAUGAAUGGGAUGCGAGAAAUUGAUCGAUCCUGUGGACACAUACCUUGUUAGCUAUGAUAAUCUUGGUAAUGGCAAAUGGUGUAGCCAGCCCACAAUAGACAACCUUUCAAGACAGUUACAGUACAAAAAGUCUUCAAAUAUAAUUGCUAUAAUUGCACUUUAAGUUUGCAGUAAUCUGUGAAUGUAGUAGACAGAUGAAAAAUGCACAGAUAAAUGUAAAAGAGACAAAUAUUUUUGUUGGUUAGUUUCACGUAUAUGUCUAUUUAUUGAGUCAGUCAACCAAAAUUUAUUUGAAUUGAAAAACUUUGCUUAUUGUGUCAAAUAUUACUAUUUGAAAAAAAUUCGAGUAAUCGCAAUAAAUUAAUUACAAACCUCUAAUUAAUUAGAAGCAUUUUUUAAAAUUGCGUCCCACGAUUACAUCUCAUGGUUGACAAUCACCGUGUAUAAAUGACACAUAACUUUGCUUGAUUUAUUAUAGGAAUGUUUGUUUGAUUCUCCUCUUUUGGAAACAAGUAGUUGAAAGUAUUGUGGAGUGGUUGUGUCUGCUAUUGUCAGAAUCUGACCUGCCGUGCUGACUAGUGACUUGCACUGGAGGCUUUAUUGCUGCUUCAAGAACUGUUCUCCUUCAUUGAUCAAAAGCCCAACAAGAGCCAGACAAAACUAAAGUUUGUUAAAUGCUUAACCUUAAUCUGAGGUGCAGUUCACCUCCUGAAAACUGAAAAACAAAGGUCAGAAUGGAGAUGGAGAUUCACAACAAGCUGGAGGUGUUUACAGUGAAGGUUGGAGAACUUCUCCAAAGAAGAUAUAGUUUGCUGUCUUUGUGUUGAAGACUUCAGGCAGUCAACUUUCAUAGAACAGUUACUAUGAUGAUUUUGUUUGAGUUCAUGUGUAUUCAUCUGAUUUCUUAUUAACACCUAAACUUUGGGAGACUGCAGUGGCUGGGUGGUUAGCACUUGCACCUUGCAGCUAGAAGAUCCCUGGUUUGUGCCCUGGCGUUCCUGGAAUUGUCCCUUCCUUGGUUCAGGCUGUCUGUCAUCUCACACACACUACAUGAGAACAGGAUGAAAAAAACAGCAUUCUAGCUUAGGCUUUUUAAAAGGUGUCCACAUUCUCCUGCAAACAUCCCACAGUUCGUUUGUUGAGAUUUAAACAGAUUGAACGUUAAAUCUUGACCCUCUUUAGUUUCCUGUUGUCCACUUUCUUGUCACUUUUGAGUUAGCGAGCUGUGCUGUGUGAAUUAGAGAUGGAUCAGGUCAUAGAUCCUGAAGCAAGGAGGCCGACAGGCCUGUCGGGGCUGGAUAAUGGUCCUUUAGAGAAGGAUUGAAGGGCUGAUUGAUUUCACUUCAGUCAGAGGCUGGCGUGUUAGGCUGAGCGCCGCCAGACACUUCAUCAGGAUUCACAGAGGAAAAAGAGGAAGGAUGAAGAUGGGAGGUUGAGGGCCUGACAGCAAUACAAAUGUCACUCAGCCUGACUUGCUCAGUGACAGAAAGCAAAUUAAAGGCCUGUACUGUAAAUACAAAUCUGUCUAAGAGCUGACACUAUCAGCACGCUGCAGCUUUAACACAUCAGAGAGGCUGAAGUUUAUUUCCUCCACAACUUGAUACAAAAAACUUGUCUGAAGGUCUGAUGCGAGAGACUUUAAACAUUUCCUUCUCUAUUCAUCUGAUGGCUGGAGGUACUGGCUACUUUAGUGAUUUAAAUUUUAAUGUGACAUGAGUUAAAUGACCCACAAUUGUUAACUAAAACUCUGAAAAACAGCCUCUUAGCUCAAAAACACAAUAACUUUGAGAUAUUUCAAAUAUUUUGAGAGAUUUUUUUUAGCAUCAUCUGAAUAUAGUCAUAUUUCAGACCUUUAACAAAAUAAUUUUUGUGUAGGCACUAAGCAUCAGAUUAAAAUUUUAAAUCAAUUGUUAUACAUGCCCACACAGAAGAAAGUGGAAGCAGAAACAUUUUUCAUUCCUUUACCACUGCUAUUUGAAAAGCUCUUUACGUAAUAUCUACUUUCCAGAAUUAUUUAAAAUAUCUAAGUUAUUACUAAUCAAAUAAGCAUCAAAUAAUUAGCCAAAUGUCAAAAUGUCCUUCAUCCUUUUAACAUAUACUUUCAGUUCAUUAUGAUGCAGUAAAGAGCAUAUGUAAGCAAAAAGCUUGAAUCAUGUUUUACUGUUCUGCAGAGGAGAAAAAGAAUCUAUAAUUAUGAGAAUAUGAUAAUACAACAAAUGUUUAAGAUGGACAUCAAUCAUAGCUGUUAGGAAAGUCAGGAGUUUGUGGCACUUCCUGGUGUAAUUAUAUGGAUAUGAGUAUUCUGGAAAAUGACAUUAAAAUCAGAAGAUUUCAUUUGUGUGAAGCGAUGUAAGCUUUUGGGUCAUUCCAGAAUUCAAGGACAUUUUACGUCCUACCCAUCUGUAGCGUAACCACUAAACUAGUUACGUUUGCACUCGUUAAUAAAGGGGCACCAUCCUCAGUUUGUCUGAAGAAGUUAUUAAUUUAAACAAAAUCUCAAGGAGACUCUGAUUAAAAUUAAGUUGAUCAGUCUGAUGUCUGAAAGUCUAGAAUUCUGAUUAAAUUGACCUCAGUUCCCACACAAAGAAAUGCACGAGACCGUGAAUUGGUCUAAAUGAAAAACAUUUAUUAACUAUUCUACUAAGACAAUACAGGUGAGCUAUAUACAGUGAGAAAUGUGAUGUGGGUGGGCGUACGUGCAUACGUGUGUACGUGUGUGUGUGUGUGUGUGUUGAAUGUGUGGAAUCAAAUUAACAUAUUAAAGGAGGAGAACUAUGGUGAAAGGAGGCCAGAUAGCAGACGAUUUAACACACUGAAUUGGUAAUUUGGACUACGAUCAAUACACUAAAGAGUGGCUAAAUUUAAAUCAAGUUAUUGAUUUCAACCCAAAUCAGGAACAGAUAAAGAUUAGCGUUUUCCUACAUUUGUGUAGCGCUGUGCAGGUUGGAGCCACCGUUUGGCUGGAACCCAGUGGAAGGCCGGAAACAUCCUCACGAUGCACCCAGGCUUUCUCUUCCCGAAGCGUUGUGUGGUCGCUAGGCAACAAGUUCUGCCGUUGGAGUUCUCAGCGCAGUCUUUCAGGGUUGAAUGAAAAAUAAUUUGUUUAACAGUGGCUCUCAUUCUGUUUUCAGUUGGCGAAAGAACGGAGAUGAGGCAUCAGAGCAGCUGCAUAAAAGAAGUGUUCAGGACGAGGGGAAGAAGUAGGUGCGGAGGAGAAAAGAAGAGCCGGAUGAAAGGCGUUGUCCGGCCUUUUAUCGUGAAACAUAGCUUUGGGCAUGGAAAGGAAUUUCUCGUGACUUUUAGUAAUCUGAUUACUCUCUUUUUGUUCUCAGACGGAGGGAAAACGGCAUUUGUUAAACCAAAUUAAAACAUAUACGCGCAA